Molecule: long non-coding RNA, 1533 nt
Organism: Dicentrarchus labrax (European seabass)
Lineage: Eukaryota; Metazoa; Chordata; Actinopteri; Moronidae
Exons: 2
Source: RefSeq, a predicted model, not a curated record
UGAACACUGAUGUGAACACUGAUGUUCCCUUGGUUAACUAGCUAGUGACUAGAAGCUAAUACAAACAAGCUCACUCAGAAUAUACUUAUAUAUGAGUGAAUCUGUGGUGGUAGAUUUAAAUAACAUACUAUUAAUUUUGGACUAGGCGGUAAAUGUUAACAACCUGGCUCUCUCUAGUUAUGGAGACUGACUCAAAGCACCAGCUAUCUGAAAACUUACCUUAAAAUUACGACCAGGAUCCCUUCUGAUUUUUUUUAUCCACUCUCGACGUAGUCCCUUAUCCUCUGGAAAACGGUGAAAGGUUUGUCCUCUGUUGGAUUUUUUCCUGUGUGAUGAAGUGCACUGGGGAACACAGCACUGCGGCGCCAUUGCCGCUAAGAGAAAUCGCGACGCAAGAAUUCCCGGAAGUGGGCCAAAACACAUUAUCACGAUACUUUCAACAAAGAUGUCAUCCUUCUUCCAAAAUCAUCGAGCAGUGCUGUCGUCGGGCACAAAGCAACAGUUACAUGAACAGGGACAGAGAAACUGUCACUGAACAAAUAUGGGAUGCCUUUGGAGAAAAACUCUCUACUGAUGUAAGGUAAUUUGUUUUUAUUAUGUCCAAACUGUGAUUAUAAAUGACUAACUGAAAUAAGCAGUUCUUCUGGUCAGGUGCCAGUAUGUCCACUGGAGAGCUGCCCUUCUACCAGACAGCCUUCUACCUCAUCAUCAAGAGGAAUAACUACAGUUGAUCCAACUCUGGUCCUGACUUGUGAAGAUAUCUCAACUUCACCCUACCAGAGCAGCAUCCCAGCAAGUUAUUGUUCUGCCUAUACCUCAACACACCAUCAAUCAGCAAACUAUGAGAACUACCUUUCAGUAAUGGCUGCACUCUCUGAAACGUCUUCUGACGAUGAGGAAUUGAACCUGGCGAUAAUAGCAAGUCUGGAGAGUGAAAAGUUAGUACAUGAUGCAGAUGUUUUAUGCAGAGCCAACCCAACAAUGAAAUUAUGUCUGCUUACAAAUACUGUACCUGUGUAAAAUAAAUGUAAACUGAUAUUAUUUUGUGUUGUUAAUGUUAGUAAUGUUAAUAUUUUCAAAAUAUUGUGCUUUUCUGUUGACUUGAAUGUUGAAGUGGCCCUACUGUGAGGGGUCAUGUGUAACGCAAAGAAAAAUUAAAGCUGCAAGCAGCAUUGGGCGGGACCUCGCACUCCACGCAACUCGGGGCGUGCUGCGGCCGCGUCACGUGCCGUUGUAACACGUGUGGACCACAACAUGAAACCUAGCAUAAAAGUGCACCAUUUUAGCUGUGGGGACUAAUAAAGUCAAAAUGGUAGCUCUGGGGUGAUCCAAAAUGGUAGCUCGUGGCUACAGCCAAAAUACACUCAAUAAGUGUAUCCAAAAACAUAGCUGUUAAUGUUCUCUUCCUAAGCGUACUUUAAGGUAUUCUCAUGUUAAAAUGUUUUUUCACAAAACAGCUGUUUAGCAGUAAUAUGCAAUAAUAAUUAAAAAAAUGUUAUUGUACCUGUUACAAAUAAAUAAAAUACACAUGAA